UCUGAAAAAGGAAAUAUUCAAAGAAACAGUGCUUUGUAUGAGACAGGCAGAAGAAAACUGUGAGAAACUUUUCUACUAAACCGUGUACACACAAGCACGCAGCUGUACAUAUGCAUAAUCUGGUUAUUGUUUACUUUUUUGAAUUGCUUUUGAGGAUGCAGAGACAACUUUUCAAGGCCUCCAGCACACAGAAACUCCAUGGAUUUCAGAUAAUGAUCAGUGAUGAAGCUGGCUGCAUAGCAGUUAAGAAUAUCCACCUGGAUUACCUUCUGAAACAGAUGCUUAGGAAGUAUUUUUACUGAAAACAGUUUUUUGGUUUAUCCUUUAAACUAGCCUGACCAAGUAAGUUGGCUGUGACAGGCUCACUGCAUCAUUUGUGUGUGUCAACUUUUACUGGUUGUGUGGGGGUGUGAGAUGGGUCCUUAAUGGAUGUGUCACCAACUGGGCACUGUUUGCUGUCCCUUUACAGCUCAGCUCUGAAGUUAAUGCAAACAACAUGCAGAGCAUUGCCCAGUGCUGUGCAAAUGGAUGCAGUGUUUAUGUUCUACUCAAAACUAGGAGACACUGUCUGAUGAAUCUGAUCCUGGAUUGCAUGUUACUUACUUUUUGUAUUGGGAGAGGUUGGAAUCAACUCAUAAAAUUGAGCAAUUUUGUAAGAGAUUCAAUGAGUUUUUUCAAAGCCCUGCACUCUGGACAUUUCAGUUUUGAUCCAAAAUGACUGGUAUUGUUUCAUGUCUCUAGUGAAAUCCCACAACAAAUACAUAUAAUUUUACUUUCCACAUGUUGCUGGGGGCCUAAUCUCUGAAUUUCCCAGGAGAAAACCCAACCAUGUGUUUCAGACAGCUAUGCUUUAUGCUGUAUUUACUUUUUUUUUAAGAAAAGCAAGUUUUAGCAUUUGUUCCCAUCCCUACCUACUUUCUUGAGAUUCACAUAUUUUUAGUUUUCAUGCAGUUUAACCCCUACCAUGUAAGAGCUGGAUCCUCUCAUGCUGCUGUGCACCUGGGAAUGUGUAUGUACAGACUGAUGUCAGUAAAGCUUUUGGGGUGUUUGUGCUAUGUAUGCACUUCCUGCUUUUUCCUGAGAUAUCAACAUGUUUAAGCAGGCCUUUUACUGUGCUUUACCAUGGCUGCUAACAUCCAGUUUCAUGGAGACUUGCUUACAGAAGACUGUGCUAGCUAAGAAUGCUCUGCUUUGGAUGAUUCUUCCAUUUUCCAUUGUCCUCAUUUUUCUUUCCCUAUCCAUUCACUCUGUCGCAAGAGGAACUUCCAGAUGGAAAGAUUCACAUGAAAAUAGAUAUCUGUUAACUGCUUAACAGAAUAUGAAGUUCAUCAAGGGCAAAUGCAGAGUUCUUCACCUGGAAGAGUAACUUCAGGCAUCAGCACAGGCUGGGGACUGAUCUGGGGAAAGCAGCUCCGUGAAGAAGGACCUGGGUGUCCUGGUAGAUGAAAGUUGGUGAGCCAACAGUGUGUCCUUGUAGCCAAGAAGGCCAUUGGUAUCCUGGGGUGGAUAGGAAGAACAUGGACAGCAGGUCAAGGGACCCUCUGCUCAGUCCUGAUAAAGCAACAUCUGGAGUGCUUUUCCAGUUCUGGGCUCCUCAGUGCAAGACAUGGAACUCCUGGAGGGCAGCAAAGAUGAUUAAGGGAUUGGAACAUCUCUCAGAAGGACAGGCUGAGGGAGCUGGGCCUGUUCAGCCUUGAGAAGAGAUGAUGACAGAGAAGGAAACUCAUCAAUGUCUGUUCAUCACGAAGCAGGACAGAACACUGGGUCAGUCAAAUGCUGGGUCCUAACUUCACAGCUGCAUAAUGCAGUGACAUGCUGCUGUCUGUUCUCUGGGAGCAGGGUAAGGAGCCUUACACCUAGGCAAGGCUUACAGUGCAGUGGCAGACUGAACUCUGCUGCUUGGAUAACGCUAAAAUACCCCUCUAAGAGAAGACUGGUCUGUACUCUGGUGGACAACAGAGAUAGGUAUUUGACUUUAAAUAACUCUGUCAGUUUUUGCAGGUGACAAGAUUCAGGAAGGGAAAACCAACUGUCAGGCAAAUUUUCUGAAGAUUACUAUUUUAGUUGGAAGCGAUGGAAAUAAAGAUCAAGACAAGGAGGCUGACUCUGAACCCUUGACAAAAGGCUUCUGCUCUAAAAUGCAUGGAUAGUCCCAAGCAUGAAAUGGCUCAAGAAGGCUGUGAGUAACAAUUAAGUUUACAUGUCUUAACAUUAAAGUGAGUGCUUACGGAGAGCUGAGGCUUGUUAACAAAUUUUGAGCACAAUCUUUGCACACUGAGAUGUGUAUACUCUCUAAAAUCAAGUAUUUGUUCCUAUAAGAUGGCAGGAAUACAAUAUUCUCUUGCAUGGAUGUACAGGUCUCCAAAAAUACACUUGCAGUAGGCAUGGUGAACUCUGUUUAAGUAAAAAAAGCAUCUUUGUUUACAGAGACAGCACACAUUUAACUGUGGUAACUUUUAAUCUAUUAAUUGAAUUGCCAUAAACUAAUCUCUAGAGAACCUUUAUAUGUUUCACACUUGGCAAGUUGUGCAGACUUUCCACCCUUCUGUUAUUAUUCAACUUCUUUGUCAUCUUAGUUGUCUGUAAAUGCCUAAACCUUUAUGGAAUGAAGUUUUUUCUCCCUCCACAGAUUCAGUCUUUCUUAAAGAACUGAGUGAAAGAAAUGCAGCAACUUCUUGAAACCUUGAAUGAAAUUUCCCCAUGACACCUUGCUCUUUUUUUUUUUUUUUUUUUUUUUUUUGGUAUGGUUUUUGUUUGUUUGCCCACACACAGGUGGGAAGUUGCAAUAUCAAACCACAGCCUGCUCAAACAGCCUGACCUUUAGCAGAGGGGAAGCUCAGAGAGAGAUAUAAGAGUUUACAGUGUCCAGCACUGAUGUGUUAGUGCAGGUUGUGCCUGGUGGGCUGAGCAUAUGAGGGCUGUUAAGGGAAAGAGUCCUCCUACUGACAUAAAUGUCAAGAUCCUUCCUAAAGCACCAUCACACAUCAAUUACAGGGAACUUGCAGCUAGAAAUGAAAAUGAAGUUCUUGUGAUCUGUGUAUUUACAAAGGCAGCUUGAUAUUGUACAGCUUUAAAUGCUUUUCAUUUCUUUCCUGUCAGAGUUUGAGCUAGUUGCAUUCAACAGAAGCCAGGUUCACGUUUUGCAGUUAAUAUCCAAAACUGAGUUAGCAGCUUCAUCCCUGACACUAUAGAUAGACACUAGAGAGUCACAGUAAACCGAACCUUUAUGUCUACACCCAUUGUGGACAGAGAACCAGUCACAGUGUGUUUGCACAUCCUCUGUGUUCAGCUGUAGGAGAGAACUAUAUUGCAUACAUAAAUCUUGGGAAGCAGCCUCUCCUGAAUACUCACCAGAUCCUAUAAGAGCACAGAUCAGCACCAUGGAGUUAUAUUUUAUUUCUGGAGCACUCCUGUCGUCUGAGAGCAGUCUGUGUAGAAUCUGAACAAGCUGAGCAUUUUCAAGAUCCUUUUCAGCAGUGACUGAAAUACAAGUGAAAAUUUGUAAGUCUGGAAAUGCCACUUGCUUUGACACUUCCAUGUGUUAUCCCUUUCCUGAAACAUGAUCUCUCACCAGAGUGAAAGUGAGGCUGUGGUACAUAACUCAUUGGUAUAAAACUCAAGCACAUAUUUGAUGGUAUGAUGACAAGAAUCACAGCUCUUGCUAUAAAAAUGUGAGGUUGUCUAACUGGUUGAAAGGACAGUCACAGAGUUUAAUGAUGAAAUCCAGUGCAGUAAGCUGAUGGAAAAGCCAUGAGGUUUUCUAGCUAUUUAGGCCAACACCUGGAAUAUUUCAGCUUUCAAGACUUCCAUUGCCUGAAUUUGCUUUUGAAAAUUCUGAGUAAAUAUAGAUUGUGUAGUUCUUGAUUCCAUGGUAGAGGGAGCUGAGGGUCCAUUAUAAAGCCUGUGGAAAACUUUUCAAGAUCUCUAUUUGAGUUACUGUCUCUGUAGCUUUCUAAGAUACAUGAACUGAAUUUGGGCUCAAUCUUUAAAUGCCUGAAGACAAGACAAAGAGAUUCAUGUGGAUAGGAACAUCUUUCCUUUUAUUAAAAACAAUUCCUUGAUGUAUUGGCAAUAAUUUGAAAGUUGAACAGAGCAUUCCUGCAGUAAACAAUGGAUGAAAUUGAGAGCAAAAAUAUUUAAGGUUGCUUCUUUAGUUCCUUAGUUAAUAAGUAAGCAAAUAAGAUAAACAAAACCUCUGUUUAGCAUUUAUUUUCCUGUUUGAAAACCUGAGGUACUACAAACGCAGGUCAAGAUGUGUAAUCAUGUCUGCCUUCAGAUGGCAAUUCUUGCACUUAUUCUGGGUAAUUUAAUGAAGACAUGUUGGGGGUGUUACCCACCUCCUUGUAUUCUCUAAUUCUUACUUAUCAAAGUGAAGUGUCCACUUACCUAGUAAGCUCUCUCAAAAGCGGAUUAACAUUCUAGUGUAGGAAUGUGGUCAGAUCAUAUAGUCUCUAGUUUAAGGUAUGUUUGCUUUCUGGGUUUUACUCCAAAUCUGAAAGUUAAGCUGGAGGGCCUUUCUAGAUCACACCACCACCUACCAGAAUGAUGGAGCAGAUCCCAUGAAACCAGCACUCUCGAACUUCCUGCAUAACAUGAUGGCUUGCCUGUGUCCAUGAACCACCACAGAAAUACUGAAAGGCAGGUAGAAGGAGGAGGCUAUUCUACAUUGCAUUCUCCCUCUCUGGCUUCUAUUGGGCACAGACUGGAAAGGAAACAGGUGGAGUGAACUUCUGGGAUACUCACCUAACUCUAGAGCUGCUAUCAAUGCCAGUGCAACGAGAGCUUCAUUUUGCAUUAUUACAUGUUCGCUGGUCGCCAUGGUUACUAAAUGCUUGAUGCCGCCGCUCUGUACAAUGGUCCUAAUUACAUCCUAAAAUAAAUAAUGCAGAAAUGAAAAAAUUCUGCAUUCCAUACAAGCUGUAUUAAAUAAGGGAAUUGUCAGGGAUGCUGUGUUAUCUUAGUGUAAGUGUACUUGGCUUUAAGCACAUAGAAUCACUUUACACAUCAAUGUACACACAUGCAGGCCUCCAUAUUAUCUGUUACUGCUCUGCAAUUUUAAGGUACAGAGUGUUAAACCAAGGCAGGUAACCCCAUAACUAAGUUAAGACACAUAUAAUAAACUCUUUCCAGGUUAUAUGGUAUAAUUCAAAUUCUCACACUGCCAUCAAUCAUCAAAUAAUUAGGGGUUCAAAGUAUCUAACAAUAUAUAUACUUAGGGUAAAGGAAACACACAAACAUAGUUAUAAUAAAGCCAUUAAAUGCUUCAUCUCUCUCUACAAAUUUUCAGAGUUUAUUCAAAAUGUUCAGAGAGGUGAGAUCACAAAUAUUACACCAUACUAUGUAAUAGAAAUGGUGUACUUGAAAAGCUAUUGACUGGGAAAUGAGCAGUGGUGUCUUACUAUGGAAUUUUUCUUCAAAUACAAAGCAGGUAUGGAAAAGGUAGGUAUGGGACACCAAUGUGUUGGUUUCUGUUUUAAAGCCAGCUGUUAAAAUGAACUGUUGUACAGUACUGCUGCCCAAUAUUGAGGAGCUUAAAAUGUCAUUUAACUGGGUUAAAUGUGUCUAAAGCAGAUCAAAAAUACACAGCUGGGAUUCUGUUUUCAAGUCCAAAAUUUGAUCCAAUUUAUGUGACAGGAGAUAAAUAAAGAUUUCUGGUCUCUACAGGUAUUUGUUAGUUAAAAUUUCAAAAGUGAUUGUGCACAUUUUCACCAUCUUAUAUCCAAAAUACACUUGCAAAAUGUUUGCCUGAAAAAUCAGGUAACUUGGCAUGCUGAAAGGAAACUGCUUGAGGAAAUGUGGAUUGGGUUUUAUUUAUUAUUUGUCCUGUGAGUGCACAAAGGUUUGAAGAAGCAUUUAUUUAUUGAAACAAGACUAUGAUUAAAAUUUUUCAUCUAGAUCUUAAAUUUUCAUUUAAAACACAUCCCUGUUUCUUACACCAGCUACAAACCAAAACCAAUAACCUGACAUACGUGCUGAAAAUUAAUUAUUUUUUCAGUCCUUGCACAGGCUUUGCAGUAGUGUUGUUUAUGCAAGGAAACAGACACGAUAUAAUCAUAAUCCUUAAAACUAAAUAUUUUUAGAUAAUCAUACUGAAGAUAUUAGCAGCCCAAAUUACAGCCUAAUGACCCAGGAAUAUCACAUUUAAAACUUUUUUCUUCUUAAAUGACAUAGUGUAUGCAAGCAUUUAAGUAUUUUUACUUAAAAUUUUUACUUAUUUCUGUAUGUGAAAUGAUACAUUUUAUUAUUUGUGAUUCUCUGCUGGAACUCCAAGGUAGUUUUCAGACUGACACAAUCUGGGAACUAAGUUCUAUUUGAAUUGGUGUGGAAUUUUGGCUCUAUAAGUCUUAAGAACCAAUCAGCAUCUUUGACACCAAAAUUUUUUAUAUAGUGGGUGAGCAUCACCCUUUAAAAGGCAGUACCAAAUAGAUGGAUAGCCAUCAGGUUUGGUGCUAGUGGGCUGAAAUCACAGGUACCUACUCUAGUUUUUUAGAAUGACUAAAACUGACUGUUGACUUUGUAAAUAUUACUCCAAAGCAUUUAAAAUUACAAGCCAAAUUCAAACCUGAUUAAGAGCCAUACAGCUGUACUCAUAUUCAAACCUAGAGGGCAGCAAAAGCUUAAAAAACCCCACCCUCUCAGCUGUUAUCCUCUUCAAGUCAAAUUUCCUCUGAGUACAUGCAUCCCACAAAAAUUAAUUCACCUGUAAUAAUGCUGUUAAUUUCUGCCUUAAUAUCUAUUUGAUGCCAUCAGUCAUGUUUCCAUAUUUAGAAUUGAAUUCUGUGUCCUACAGGAAUAUUUAUUAAGUCUCACAUCUGUGGUGGUGUUUGCCAUCCAUGCAUGCAUACUGGGGACUGUGGGGAGGAGGGCAAAAAAAGUGAAAACCAGAAAAAUGAACCCUGAUCAGUUUUAGAAGCCGAACAGAAAAUGGAGAGUGGGCAUUAGACAGAGAUGAUAAUACUAGAAAUCAGCAAAGAUUUAAAUCCCUGUAAGGGCUGUUGAUUUUUUCUUGGAGAUGCUCAGUACACAUCAGGCCCCUACUAUAUUUUUCACUUCAUAAAUGCCAUGGAUGGAUGAAGAGGUCACUGUUACAGUCUGAGCUCUCCAAAUCACACUUGCUAUUUAAGAUCAGUAAUGCAGCCUAAGUUCAUAUCAGUGAACAUGCUAAAGGAAGUCUGAGCCUGAAAUAGCGUGUCUCCAGACGAGAUGUGUUUGUCCUUUAUAAGGCAGCUUUGUCUAAUACUCAGCUGCACAAGAAUGGUGGAAUUGGGACUGCUUAGGUAAAGAUAUUCGAUGGAUGUGAAUGUGGUGGGAGGAGCAGAUGAAUUUUUCCUAAUGUUAUACCUUUUGCCAUAUACAAGCAGCUUUUUUUAGAAUUUGGAAUAAAUUAUCAUUUCUAAUGAUCCAUCUGAAUCUUAAAACUCUGAAACAUGCUGUAUGAAGAGUAGGGAGACAGACUAUUUCUGGAUCUCAGUUUUAUAUAAAUAUAUAGCAAGAUCCUAACAACUGAGUUCACUGAUUCUUCUUAUAUAGCAUCAUUAAAACAUAGAGAAUACAGCAUGCUGAACUUCUGCAGAAUACAUUAAAAAUAAAAAUGAGUCAAGCCUUGGGCAGAGGAGAUGUAACACACGAAUACCCAAGCUGGCUCACUAGACAAGGAUUGCAAGCUGGAGGGUUGGUUACCAACAGCAAGUGCACGGGUAAGUCUUGGUUCUAACAAGCUGAUCUUUUCCUCCACUAACUUACUUUUGAUUUGCUGUGUCGUAUAAGUGCAGAAAGUAGUCUGUUGGACUCUCCCAUCACACCUGCGUGAUCCUUGGCUUCACACCACUCCACCAAUCGUUCCACCAGUUUUACGUUUUUGCCCAGCUGUUCAGCUGCUUCUGCUACAUGGUGCCGGAGCCAACAACACAACAAAAAGGUUGUCACUUUUUUAAAGCAAGUGCUAGAAAAACAAGCUGAAAGUUAUUAACUUGGAGGAGUUAGAAGAACUUCACUAGCCUGCACUACUAGUGGGAAAAGUCUAGGUUGCAUUGAAGCAAGUAAAGCCAGCCAAAUGAAAUAAAAAGAAAAAAUAAGUCCAGAGAAACAUUCAUAAUCCAGAUUUGUAACAACUUAUCAGCCCAGUUAAUGAAGCUUGUGCACUGAUUAAGAGCAGGGAAAAUACAGGUGAUAUCACGCUCCCCGCUGAGCUGUGAGCCAGCUCAAGAAUUAAAAACCAGGAGGGACUGCUGCCAGAAGGGAGCACUGUGGUCAGUUAGAUCAGGUUUGAUAGACUGUAAGUCACUACGUUUCUUUAAAAAAUUUCUAUUUCACAUCCAAUUGCUUUGCUAGAAUUUGAAUGGAUCUUUUGAAAAAAUCUGUAGGACUGAGUCAAAAAUAAAUACACAAAAAUAAAUACACAGCUAAUUUACCUCAUGAACUAUUUCUGGUUUUUAGCAGAUUUCUGAUUUUAUAAAUCCUCAUCCUGGAGUAAGUUGGUAACUAAAAGGUGAGUUUUCUUUUUGGAAUUGCAGUCUGUCAAUUAAUAGAGUAUUAUCCUGUUUCAUGGACUGAGGUACAGCCAGGGAAUACAGUAAGUGAACAGCAAAACAGGAGUGGUAGCUCAAAACAUGCCUCAAUACACACUUCUAAUGUGACAGUGUAAAGAAGUUCAAAAGUAAAUAAGCAUUGGACACCUAUUUUGAGAGUCCCUGGUCGUCAGUUUAGGAGUUCUGAAAAAAAAAUCAACCCAUAUUCCUCUCCUUUUGCAUAUGUAUUAGAUUUAUUCCAUGAUUUCAGGAAUGAAAUUUAGAAAAACUCUGCUUCUCUCUUUUAAGAAUCUUGGCAGCAUAUCACAGACUGAACCAAAGAGAAUCACUUUAUACAUAGAGAACAGUUUAUUUUUACCUUGUGCAUCUAUUAACAUUCUUAAUGUUCCCAGCAGCUUGAACUGAACGGGGGGCAUCUCCGAUCUGAGAAAUUUCAAUACAGCUUCUGCAACGCCAGCUGAUAGCAUCUUAGCCUUAUUUACAACUGCAUGAAUAAAGAACAGGGAUUGAUCUCAAAAACAUUUCUGGAAGAUGCAGUUUAUUUCAGAGGUGGUCUUGCAGCAAAUUUUCAGAUGUGGUUUGAGAAAGAGGUUGUGAACACAGACUUCAGGGAUUAACUCUUCCACAGAUUCAUGGUCUUUAGUGAAAUUUAUGAGAACACCAUGUCAGACACCAAAGAGUUGUUGAAGUUGUCAAAUUUCAGGUAAGUACAAAUUGUACUAGCGCAUGCAUUGAAUGCCAUUUUACCUCUGGCAGAUGUGUCAGUCACUACUACACUCUCCUACUUCAUUCCAAACUGACUGGAAAAAUCUGUCUUUCAAUAGGAAAACUGGGGAGAGAGGGAGAUGGAAUGGUUCUACAGAAAAAAAAAUUCUGGGAAUAGGAGAACUCAAGUUACUGACAGGGCAACCCUGCGAGUCACAAAGCUGCACAGGAAGCAAGACCUUUGAAAAUAAAAGGCUGCCAGCAGCUAUUUGCCAUGUUAAGCCUGGGCUUACCAUACAAAUUCUGGACCUGACAUUUACAUCUGUCAUCAUCACCAACAGCAGGCUCUUUCUCUAGCAAAGUCUACUAAGCAUUUUAAGAGAAAAGUAUCGGGCAUCUCACUGGUAUGGAGACAAUUUUUAGUUCUGAUAAAUGAAAAAUACCUAAGUGGUUCAGUCUUAGCUGGAGGGACUGCCAGCAAUUAGUUCUCUCACUGCCCUAGGAAAACCUCAUACUGGGUAACUUAGACUAACUGCAUGUCUUGGCCUUUCACUGCAGGAAGUGUUAAUGCCCUACUAGAGCAGGAGACAAUUUUGGGGAAACAUGCAUCCAUCCUAUGAUCAGUUGCCUGACACAGGACUAAAGCGAGCCGUGCCACCUGGCAACGCUGUGUUUCAGGAUGAAACAGCACUUCUAUCACUUCCUAAGCAGAACUUUAUGCACAGCGAGCAGGAAGCAUGAAGAACUGAAUGCCUCUUCUGAAUUUAUGACUUAAAACCACAAUUUACACUGCUAUCACAAGUUGCACUAUGCCUGUGUGUUCUUUUAGGGUGAAAAGCACUGACAGUGAUGCUGUACAGAUGCAUAUACAGGUAGAUAAAAGGCAAUCAAUACAUGCGCCAGCACAAAGAAUUACCUACCUAAAACUUGAAUUUCAAUGGCUCCAUGUCCUUCGGUGACACACAUGGAAACUCCAAAGAGUAAGAUCUGAGGAGAAUAUCCCAAAUUGAGAACUUUAUUGGGGGCAUUUUAGUUAAAAAUGCUGAUUUAGGCUAAUUCGUGAUUUUGAAAAGAAUUUUAGAAAACAACUCAUCAUUUGUGUCCCAUCAAUUACUGCGAUUAUAAUGCUGAAGUAGUUUUGUAAAAAUUGAUGGCAUAUUUUUAUACCCUAGAGAAACCUGCUUGCAAUCCCCACAGCUAUGUUAAAUCAUGACAGAACAUAAAAGUGAUUGUAUUGAUUAUCUCACUAUAGGAAGGAACAUACUUUUUAUCAUACGUUAGGUUACUUUGGAAUUAAGUGUUUUGAGGUCUCAAAAGCAUGCUAGGCAUCUCUAGCUGUGAUGUAAAUGAAGCAAAACCCAUGACAAGCAUGAAAAUUAGCAAAGGUAAGUCUUAUGAGGAAGCACUACUUAAAUAUUGCUGUCAGAUCAUAAUAAUGGUGCCAUAAAUCUCCCUUUCAUUUCUUUUAUAUUUACAUAGCUUCUGCAGAUGGUCAACAGUGCACAUCAGACCCCAACAUUCAUUCCAGUUGCUAAGAGUUUUGUGAGAAUAAGAGAGGCUCAGCAGUCGUAUGAGAUAACAUCAGGAUGUCACAUUUUACAAAAGUGCUGAAGGAAAGACAAUCUUGACAGACUGAAGCUUGCUAUGAAAUGAAAUGAGGCAGCAGUGUAUAAACAUAAUUAUUUUUAUCAACAUAUAUACACUUAUAUAUAUAAAUGUAUGUAUACUUUCACAUGCGUACUGUAUCCAGUUAACUUCUGAUCUCUGAUUUGACUAUCUAAUAAGCCAAUUGGCCUAGUUUUUCCAUAAUUUCUGCAUUUCUUUAAAAAGCAUUCAUGGUCUGUUUUAGAGAUCUCAAGAGACAAUUCGUUACCUUAUGGACUGAUCCCAUUAACUUGCAAAUAGUAUUGGCUCACACGAUUAUGGGAUCUGCAGAAUAAACACUCAUAUUUCUAACUCUUUUAUGAGUUUGCAUAUGAUUGUUAGGUUUAUUAGAUUAGUUAUUAGUUUUCCCCUCUUUAUCCAAGCCUGCUUUGCUUCUUGCUCUCAAGCAGAUUAAUGGCUGCACAGAAGCUAGUAACUAAAAGCAGGGAUGACUUAUUUGUGUCUGAUUGAAUUUGGGUAAUAAAAUACAGUUAUGACAAGAGGGUUGAGAUAACCUGGGCUGAAGGCAAAGGGAUGUUUUCUAUCAGAAAAAAAACCCCUCUCAUUUCUAGCAGUGCAAUUAAAUAUCAACACUUUUUUUUUUAAGCUUGAAAGAUCUGCAAGAAAUGCCGAGGUUUGAGUUUGUUGUCUUAACAAUUGUAGUUACUAAUGAAAUGAUAAGAUACCAAGGAAGCAAAGAAAGAGAAACAGUAAGCAAAAAUAAUUCCUGAACACAAGCAGAUGACACAAGAACCUUAUAAAAGGAAGCCUAUUUUUAAAGCUUAGACAAUACUGUUAUAUGAUUUGAGUUACAAUUGCAAGAUGAGUGUCCAGAAUCAGGAUGAGAUACAAGAAUGCUCCAUUAAUGUGCUCUGUUUAGGAAAAGGAAGUCUUACUUGUAGCUGCUCCUUAGUUGCCUUUUUUGUAAAACUCAUGUAUGAUAAAUCCCUUCAAAUACUCAAGACCAAGUCUUUCAUGUUAAAAAAAAUAUAAGGCAAUCAAUAGUUACUAAUAAUGAAGUAGUAGGUAUUGGAAAAAGAGGGCAAUUAGCUGACUGAUAAUGACAAACUGGAAUCAAAUAUAACAUUUUGCUCAUAAAAUGCUGAUGAUUAGAAAAUAUUAGGGUGUUCACAGAUAAUUAGAUGCAACUAAGAACCAGCUGUGCUGUAAUGGUUCUUAUCUGGAUAGCUGGUACAAAUUAAGAGUGCAAGUGAUUAAGAGCAGUUAAAGAAAUCUUCCAAGCCCCAACCUGUAACUUUUUAACACAGCAUGCCAAGCUGGAAAAGAUUAUAGAAACAUGAAAAGAGAAUGCAGAAGUGCUGUUUCAAAGACUGAAACACUUCCUUCUUGCCUAAUAUUUUUUAUUUUUGUCCAAUUGGUUUCCAUAACUACGGACAAAGAAAUCUGUGACUCUAGGCUGCAAUUCCAUACUGCUCAUCCCUCAGCAAAACCAAUGCAGUGUUUUAUCUUCUUUGUAAGUAGCUGGGAUCAAACCUUUGCAAGUAAAUUCCAAAAAUGGUAUUCACUAAGCUUUGAGCACAAUUAACUGUCAGGGUAAUCUCAGUUUUGAUGUUUAACAGGUCAGCAAAGAACUGCAUUUAGUUGGAAUAUUAUUCACUUGCUGCUGCAAUGCAUGGAAGUUAGUGGGUGUCUUGGGCUCCUAUCCUGAAAAUUUUCGAUGGCCCAAAGGUGAUAUUUUUAGAUCAGCUCACAAUUAUGGUCCAGUUGUACUCAUGACUCUUCAAACUGGCAAGACAGGUCAACUACCUGUUUCUCCAUUUACAUGCUACAGUUAUGGUCACUGAAUUUUCUUCUAAAAAUUUAGUCCUCUAAAUCAUCCUUUUUUUAAAAUAUUGAUUUUACACAUUAUUAGGGGUUUGAUUCAAUCAUUGCCCCAGUCAGUGAUCAAAUUCACAAUGGAACUAGAGGACACAAAUCUUACACAGCCUACCCAUGAAUGCUGGGCCAAACAUGAGCUCGGUUCCUACAAAAGGGACCCUUCCUCAUGAAGACAACCAAGUCUGUGGGGUAAGGUGGAGGUUUGGUAAACCCCCAGCACUCCUCCCUGAUGUGAUGGUAGAACAUGGGGCUGGUGAGCACCUUGAUCCAAGGGCUUGGAAUACUCCUGCAUUUCUCACUUCUGACACUGCUUCAGUGGCUGCUGUGAAUAGUGUGUGUGAGAUGAAAGAUGUCCUUUAGCAGAGGGGAGAGCAGCUAGUGAAUCCUCCUGGCUGUCAUUGAACCACACAACUGCUUUAUUGAUUGCAUCAGAAUAAGCUAUCUUACUAGAUGGAAUGAGUCAUUUAUUCAAUGUUCCUAACAGUUAAGCUGUUCAGAAGCUGCUUGUUUGGGAGAUUUAUCUCAUAAUUAGUUUUCCUAGAGAAGAUCUGCUGAGAGCUUAGUCACUGAAGCAAAACUGAUAAAAGUAUCUCUACACAUCACUUUUGGAUUUGUCUGUCUUGAGCUACCAAGUAUACUGUAUGCUUGUUAGUCUUAAUUAAUACAGAGCAUUCUGGUAGCUUAGAGGUGCGAAUAUCUAUUUUCUCCAAAUAUUGUAACAAAGAAAAUACUGACUUAACACUAUGAAAUGUAAUAAAUGUGAUACUCAUGCAAAGUGGUCAAGCAAAACAGUUCCUGGAAACUAUAAGAAAUGAAGGAACUAGAAAGUUGAUAUUUGGAGAAGAUGGAAGAAAUACUGUAAACAAGAAUUUUUUGAUAAUAGAAAGAAAAGAGGACGAAAAAAACCCAGGGUAAGAACGAGCGAAAGAGAUGAGACACAUACAACAGUUAUAUUUGGAGCUAGAUGAGUAACACAAAGAGCUGAGAUCUCCAGAGAGAUAGCACAGAAAACACACAUGGAAACGAUGCUAGAAGAGAUGAUAAAGCAGAUUAAAAUGUAUACAAUAAAACCUAUGGACCAUCCUGAGAAGUAGAAAAGUUUUUGGGAGAUAGCAUUGGAAAGUGAGUUACAGCAAGUGCUGUCUUUCAGGAAAUGGUGAGUAACUAAUAAAGAAGAUAUUUCUUCCUAAGAUGAGACCUGCAAUUCAGGAAAUGGGCAUGACUGAAGACAAUGUAAUUACUAACUGUAUUUGUAAUCUGUGCCAUUUCAAGUCAGGAGAAGAGCCUCUCUGUAGCCUUCCUAAUGUAUUCCAAUUUUCUUCAUAUUUUGAAAACUUGAAAAUGUGUGAAUACUGUAAAUAUAUUUUGGCACAUUAAAACACUUGUGUGCAGAAGCAAGCUAGGUACUAUUUUGUACAACUAAUGUAGAAUGCUUACUCUCAGUGGUCAAGGGUUUCUUAUUUAAUAUACUCUCAUGGUUUUGUCCCAGUCUCUAAACAUCUCCAAUUAAUGAGAUAAUGAACAUAAACUUAUAACUUGUAGACACAGAACAGCAUUGAACAUACCUAUAAAUGAUUCCCCAUUUAUUUAAGAACAAUGUAACAUAUGGUUUUAUAUACAUUUCACAGGGAGAAAAAUUAUUUACUGUUUGGCAUACAUACCCUUAAAUAAUUAACAACACUGCAUGUCUGCACCAAAUUAGUCUUAUGAUGUUAUUUGAUACUAAUGAGAAAGAGAGGGCUUAAUGUAACCUUCUUAUUAACUUCUGUAAAUCUUUAUAUCUUUAUGCUUUGCUUUUAGACAAGUAAGUUCCAGAUAUUGAUCUUAAAACUUUACACAAUCUAUGUUAUAUGGAAUUGUAUCAGGAAUAUAUCUAGUAUUUUUGGGAACAUAAUUUUACUGAACCAGAAAAUUGUACAUGUGAAUUGAGGUCCCUGAUCUCUUCAGAAUAACUUAGUGUUAAGCAUCCACAAUGUAAACCUACAGAUGAUUUUAACUUUUUUAUCUUUUUUUUUUGUUGGGGUUGUUCUCCUGGUAGACAUAAAGCAAAUUUUCGGUGUUGUUUACCAUUCUCAUUGCUAUAGUUCAUCAGCAUGCCACAAAAGACAGUCAAGAGCUUCUCACUGGCUGGAUCUGUUUUACUGCACAGUGACCUUAAAUGGUCUACUACAAUAUGUGCACCACCUGCAUGGUCAACUGCGUUCCUGCCCUCAUCUGUAAAACAAAGAGUUACGUUAAAAAAAAAAUGAAACCAAACCCCACCGUCGAAUCCCGAACGUAACAGUAUCAUACAAAAUGAAGCUUUUAAACAGUGAAGUCAUUUCACCAGUGUUGUCAAAUUCAUCUAGAAAGAUGAAGCCCAACUUUUAGUGCAACAGAGCUAGGAAAGUGAAAACACCUACAACAAAAAUGAUUAACCACCUGGCACUAAUACCUUUGUAAAGAAGUUCAGUGAUUGAGACAGAGCUGCUGGAGCUGAUAAAUAACAUUCUGAAGAUGCACUGAGUUUUGCCAGAGGGAGGUUCUGAGCACUUGCCAUAGCUUAGUCCACAUACAGAUAAAUUACUCUUUCUGUUUUGCAGAUCAAGAAAUUGAAAUACAGAAAAUAAAUUGCUUGGAUUAUUUAAAAACAGAAAGGAGAAUAAAAUGGACAAAGCAGACGGAGGUGCUAGUUCCCAGUGGCAUCUGUUCAUGCACUCUCUCUGCCACACAGCAUGUUCUUUGUACUUCUAUAGCUGAAAAUUAGUAACACUAUUAGAUACUUUUUGUAUGGCUAAAAGAAAAAUUUACUCUUCAGCUAUAAAAGACUACAACAUUCUGAAGGGUUGUAAAUAACAUACCAUAAUCUUUGUAUGGAACUCUUCCUAUGUAACAAAUCAAAUUUGAUGCAACAGUGUAGGAAUAAAGGAAAAAUAGGCCUUCUAUUACAGUAAUCAUCAAUACUGCUUCCUUUCCCAGCAGUAAGCAAUAAGCAAUAGACAACAGUCAAUAGACUGAAUUCCAGGGCUUCCAAAAGAAGAGAUUUCCAUGUGAUCUACCACUGGAAUCAGCUGGGAAAUCUGGACUAAAACCUUCAGGGGAAGGAGGAGGGAAUCACUAAAGUUUUGAAUAUAACAAAAAACCCCAACCAUCUCAAUUUCUUCAUGGCCCCAAAGUAGAUCUCCUCUUUUCCUUGUUAUUCACCACUCUACCAUCCCUCCUCUCUCUCCCCAUCAUAUGUGCAGGUCAAGCUACCAAGUUUUCAUCAUUCUGCAGUGUAUUCAGCAUGAAACCCAAGGCUGUACACAUUUACAAUAUGAUCUUCCACUGUAAAAUGUUCCUGAGCUCAGCAAAAAGAAGCUUCUACAUCUUCCAAUUCUUGUUAAUACUAUUAGCAAACUAUAUAUACCCCUUAUACUGUAUAUAAAAAACAGGUUUCCAAAUAUUGCAUAUAGGGACUUCAGAAAAUCUGCCAAAUGGAGCUGAAGGAAGGGUAAUUCUUGGCAGGUCCUAAAAAAGUAGUAAGAGUUUUACAGCAUAAAUUCACUGCCAUGACCGUUUCCACUUUGGAUAGGAUCAGGGUUUCAGAAAAGUGUGUUUUGCUGAAGGCAUGUCUAUUUAAUUUUGAAAAAGGAAGAACUGGAAUCUAUUAAACAAUUAAAGUCAAGGUAGGACUCUGUGUCAAGGAACAACUAUGAAAAAAAGGACAAACAGAAAAGAAAUUUUUCAGAUCCUUGAUGUCAUAACGAACAUAGCUCUAAUGCUGAAACAAAUGGAAGUCCUACAUCAAAAUACAGUGAAGCAAUAUAUUCAGGUGUUCAGACUCAGUGCUUACAUCUACCAAAUUAGAAUAGAAUAAAAUGUAUUUUGAGUUGGAAUAUUCAAGCAUUCUAUUUUAUGUAUCAUCUUCUGGUAUUUUUUACUAGGAAAUCUAUGCAAAUACAUGAUUUUGUAUUUAACUCAUCUGUUCUGUGAGUAAAAACAGGUGUGAAAAAUGAAUCACUGAUUCUGGAUCAGAUGGACUGACUGUGGUCCUCAAAUUACUAUAAUGCAACUUAAAUAAACAAACAAAGAUGAUAGUGUCAGAUAAGAAUCACAUGUCAAGCUCAACCCUGUGUCCUGAUGUUGAUGAAAUUAAUGUAAAAUAUGUAAGAAAAGUAUAAUAGAAAGGUAGAGUUAGGUAAGUGUUUGGAAGCAAGUGUUAAAACACCAAGAAAAAUAGUUACAAGCUAAGUUCCUUACCUGCACAGAAUUUGGCAGAGCUCUACUGAAAAUUACUGUGUGAUAAUAUUAUCUCUCGUUUGUUAAAAACUGCUGUACAGUCUCUCACUUCAAAUACAUGACAAAACUCUUACCCACACAAGGUUUUUGUUAGGUAAACAAGGUAAACAGAUAACCAGAUUCUGCUGUACAGACAGAGAAAGUGAAGCAGGAAGAUUCAGAAACAAAUCUCAGUCCAAGAACUGUCUGUCUUUAUGGUAUACUCAACUGUUAGGUACAAAUGAACCUCAGAAGGUGGCAGGCUGUAAGAGCCAGCCUUUGAAAGGACUACAUAUGCUGGUAGACUUGUAAAGGAGAUGCUGUAACUGAGUUUGGUGCGCUUCCUAUUUCCUGUGCUUUCCCUCUUCCCUUUGUGGCUGCUUCUCUGCCCCAGGCAGCUGGGUGAAGAACAGACCUGGGUGAGUGCUAUAAUUAGGAUCUCCUGGUGCUGCCUUCUUUGCCCAAGACGAUUAUCUCAGCUCAUUAGGGCAGGGCCACAAAGAAUCCUGUGCCAGAUGUAGGAGGAAAACCCUGAAGGUCCUGCCUACCCACUGCCAGCACUGCUGUGACACUCUGCUGCAUCCCCAAGCCGAAGGCGUACUCCUGACUGAGAAUGCUUCGUGUGCGUUUCACCAACUCGGUUCUCUCUACUCCUCUGUCGCUAAGGAACAGAUUUUGCACACAGGAAUACUCAUCAAACUCCAAAUCAUUUACAGUCAAAACAAGCCCACAGCAUGUUGCUGUGUCUUGUUCUCAGUCCAACUAUUACCUUGCAGUUCAGCAGCUCUAUGAACUCCCACACUUAACGUGCUUCCAAGCCUCCCAGAAGCUGUGUUGAUUUUUUUUCCUGUGACCUUUUUAAAUAAACAUUUGCCAUUCCUAAGAGAA
Long non-coding RNA from Parus major (Great Tit), 17843 nucleotides. RefSeq lists it as uncharacterized. The transcript is spliced from 4 exons. The record is from RefSeq and is a predicted model, not a curated record. Lineage: Eukaryota; Metazoa; Chordata; Aves; Passeriformes; Paridae.